UGGGAAAGUGGUUUACUCUGGUCCAAGAACAAGUUACAUAGCAAGUGAUCUUACACCAGUCACAAGGUACAGUUUCCAUCUGCAAGUCUCUACUGAAGGAGAUGAUAGUCCACAAAGCAAAGUUGUUUCCGUCAUUACUCUAGAAUCAGUCCCCAGUGCACCCCAAUGCCUCAGAGUUUUAAACAAAUCCACAUCACAAAUUAAAAUCACCUGGGAACCACCAGCUACAUCAAAUGGGGUGCUGAAGGGCUAUCAAAUUGUAGUGAGAGAGAAAAAAGUGGAUAAUGUUAAAGAAGAUGAAAAUGCAGGAAAAAACAAAGAACGCAGUAAGUUAAGCUCUCUGCAAUGAUGAAAGAGCAAUAAUAAUUGAUGAAUAUGAGUUUUUAGUGAUGUCAGAAGCCAAAGGCUGAGGCUGUUAACCCUUAACCACCCUUGAUUCUUCUGGAUAUACAGUGUAAUGAAAAACUUCAUCCAAUCAAUGAGACGGAAAGACAUAAAUUUUCCUUCGUGUAUAAGUGAUAGGCUUUGACCCAUUUUAUAGCAAAAUUGAAUUAGAGCUAGGAAUCAUUUUGCUUUUACAUUUUUGUCACUUCUUUGAUGAGGUUGUUUUCGGCCCUGCCCUUUUGAACAGUAUGGGCUUACAUUAUUCCCUAGAAACUCGAUCAUGUCAUGGUCAAAUAUUAUAAAUUAAGCAAC
Orbicella faveolata is the source of this 696-nucleotide long non-coding RNA. The record is from RefSeq and is a predicted model, not a curated record. NCBI's taxonomy places the organism in Eukaryota, Metazoa, Cnidaria, Anthozoa, Scleractinia, Merulinidae.